UUGAUUCUACAAAGCACACUGAAUUUCUGCACUGAUUUGAUACAUCUUAGAAAUUCGAAGUCUAGAGUCUUUUCUGCAUUGUAUUGUGAACACCACUGAUUGUAUAUCAAGUGUUCAAUUCAAACUCAAUUCUCUGUAUUUUUUGUUUGAUUAGAAGUCUCUUGCCUGCGUGCUUGAGCAUUAGAAGUCUCUUGCUUAGUGCUUGAGCAUUGGAAGACUCUUGCGUGUGUGCUUGAGCAUUUUUGUGAAGUCUCAUACUUAGAAACUAUGGGAUAUACUGGAAGAUGGAUUGUAAUCUUGUGAUUAUAGUGAAAUCUCCUUGGAAGUGCAAGGGGGACUGGACUACUUCCGUGUUGUGGAAGGAACCAGGAUAACUGCUUGUGUCUUUGUCUUUCUUUUCUCUGCUCUGUUCUUUUCCGCUGCAAUCUGACUCUGAUCAUUUCAUCAGAAGCAAUCAAACUGCUUCUGAAGUUUUAUCAGAAGAAGUAUUUUUUAAGAGAAAAAGAAAACACAAUUCAACCCCCCCUUCUUGUGUUUUUC
This 540-nucleotide long non-coding RNA is filed under the name Medicago truncatula (barrel medic). RNAcentral describes it as "lncRNA gene1624". The record is from RNAcentral. Lineage: Eukaryota; Viridiplantae; Streptophyta; Magnoliopsida; Fabales; Fabaceae.